This 253-nucleotide ribosomal RNA is filed under the name uncultured bacterium. RNAcentral's name for it is "partial 16S ribosomal RNA". It matches the Rfam family "Bacterial small subunit ribosomal RNA", at positions 524 to 776 of the family's 1533-position model. The record is from RNAcentral.
UACGGAGGGAGCUAGCGUUGUUCGGAAUUACUGGGCGUAAAGCGCACGUAGGCGGCUUUGUAAGUUAGGGGUGAAAGCCCGGGGCUCAACUCCGGAACUGCCUUUAAGACUGCAUCGCUUGAAUCCAGGAGAGGUGAGUGGAAUUCCGAGUGUAGAGGUGAAAUUCGUAGAUAUUCGGAAGAACACCAGUGGCGAAGGCGGCUCACUGGACUGGUAUUGACGCUGAGGUGCGAAAGCGUGGGGAGCAAACAGG